RNAcentral lists this ribosomal RNA (1451 nucleotides) under uncultured organism. Its description in RNAcentral is "16S ribosomal RNA". It matches the Rfam family "Bacterial small subunit ribosomal RNA". The record is from RNAcentral.
AUUGAACGCUGGCGGCAGGCCUAACACAUGCAAGUCCAACGGUAACAGGAAACAGCUUGCUGUUUCGCUGACGAGUGGCGGACGGGUGAGUAAUGUCUGGGAAACUGCCUGAUGGAGGGGGAUAACUACUGGAAACGGUAGCUAAUACCGCAUAACGUCGCAAGACCAAAGAGGGGGACCUUCGGGCCUCUUGCCAUCGGAUGUGCCCAGAUGGGAUUAGCUAGUAGGUGGGGUAACGGCUCACCUAGGCGACGAUCCCUAGCUGGUCUGAGAGGAUGACCAGCCACACUGGAACUGAGACACGGUCCAGACUCCUACGGGAGGCAGCAGUGGGGAAUAUUGCACAAUGGGCGCAAGCCUGAUGCAGCCAUGCCGCGUGUAUGAAGAAGGCCUUCGGGUUGUAAAGUACUUUCAGCGGGGAGGAAGGGAGUAAAGUUAAUACCUUUACUCAUUGACGUUACCCGCAGAAGAAGCACCGGCUAACUCCGUGCCAGCAGCCGCGGUAAUACGGAGGGUGCAAGCGUUAAUCGGAAUUACUGGGCGUAAAGCGCACGCAGGCGGUUUGUUAAGUCAGAUGUGAAAUCCCCGGGCUCAACCUGGGAACUGCAUCUGAUACCUGGCAGCUUGAGUCUCGUAGAGGGGGGUAGAAUUCCAGGUGUAGCGGUGAAAUGCGUAGAGAUCUGGAGGAAUACCGGUGGCGAAGGCGGCCCCCUGGACGAAGACUGACGCUCAGGUGCGAAAGCGUGGGAAGCAAACAGGAUUAGAUACCCUGGUAGUCCACGCCGUAAACGAUGUCGACUUGGAGGUUGUGCCCUUGAGGCGUGGCUUCCGGAGCUAACGCGUUAAGUCGACCGCCUGGGGAGUACGGCCGCAAGGUUAAAACUCAAAUGAAUUGACGGGGGCCCGCACAAGCGGUGGAGCAUGUGGUUUAAUUCGAUGCAACGCGAAGAACCUUACCUGGUCUUGACAUCCACAGAACUUUCCAGAGAUGGAUUGGUGCCUUCGGGAACUGUGAGACAGGUGCUGCAUGGCUGUCGUCAGCUCGUGUUGUGAAAUGUUGGGUUAAGUCCCGCAACGAGCGCAACCCUUAUCCUUUGUUGCCAGCGGUCCGGCCGGGAACUCAAAGGAGACUGCCAGUGAUAAACUGGAGGAAGGUGGGGAUGACGUCAAGUCAUCAUGGCCCUUACGACCAGGGCUACACACGUGCUACAAUGGCGCAUACAAAGAGAAGCGACCUCGCGAGAGCAAGCGGACCUCAUAAAGUGCGUCGUAGUCCGGAUUGGAGUCUGCAACUCGACUCCAUGAAGUCGGAAUCGCUAGUAAUCGUGGAUCAGAAUGCCACGGUGAAUACGUUCCCGGGCCUUGUACACACCGCCCGUCACACCAUGGGAGUGGGUUGCAAAAGAAGUAGGUAGCUUAACCUUCGGGAGGGCGCUUACCACUUUGUGAUU